Long non-coding RNA from Columba livia (rock pigeon), 4656 nucleotides. RefSeq lists it as uncharacterized. The record is from RefSeq and is a predicted model, not a curated record. Lineage: Eukaryota; Metazoa; Chordata; Aves; Columbiformes; Columbidae. The transcript is spliced from 4 exons.
GCUGCAGAAGGAAAAACCUUGCCCCUGGCAUGGAGAUAGUGGCACAGAAUGGUAAACCUGACCUCUCCAUUCGUAUGCAGAACAUCUGGAGGACAAGGAGUGCCCCUCCUGGGACAAGCCAGGAUUCCCUCCUAGGAGAACCCAAAAGCCCCUCCAAGGACAACCCAGGCAUUCACCUAGAACAACCCUCUAGCUAAACUCCAUUCCUUCCUUCCACCUCUGCCCCAGGCUAUGUGAUCCCAUGGCCCCUCCUGAGCUCUGGGGAUUUGCAGUCCCCUCUCUGAGCCCAACAGUGAGCUGCUCAUUCCUUCAAGAAGUAGUCUUCUGCUGGUCAAGUGCAUUGAAUCAGCUCAUGGAAGAGUCAGAUAAGGAAUAGAACAAGGGUGUGUGACCAGGAGGAGAAGAGAUAGAUGGAGUAGGGGCUUGAUGUGGUGCCCCAGGGUUUCAAAGACCGCAUAAUUCUCUGCCACUGAGAGUGUGAAGUGACUCUGCACCAAGGCACAGCUCCUGCAGACCUGGAGAUCAAGGACAAAGCGUGGGGCCAUGAGGAUGGUGGGGUCAUUCCUCCUUGAUGGCAAAGCCACUUUUGCCUGCAUGGUGAAGAACCUGGAGCAAGUCAUGGUUAAUGGGUGAUGUGUGCAGACUUCGGCCUUUAGCAAGAUUAUUUCUGGGCCAAACCCACUUGCACGUUUGGGAUGAACUGGCUCGCAGGAACCCAUCAGCAGGAGACACCUCCUUCAGGAAUUUUAAAUGUCACUGGUCACCAGGAAACUGCUAUUUUAGUUCCACUUGCCAUGUCUUACUAACAUUUGCAGGGCUCCAGACUUCUCUUCCUUUUGCCAAAUCCUCCCUGUCUCACCAUGGAGCCAUGACCAAUGGGAACACAUUAAAAAAAAAAAAAAGAAAAAAAAUCACUAUUUUAGUAAAUUGUUUGAAUGUUGCUAUGAAACAGGUCAUGGGGGCCAGUGCAAGGCCCUGUUUAUGCAGUCACCCACAGAGGGAAAAAACAUUUGUUUUGCUUUGAAAAAUACCUCUUUCAUGUGGAAAGGGCACAUGGUUUGUGUGGAAGGCUACGGCCUCCAAAGGGGAGGGUGAAUUGUGGUGGGACAUUCGCUCAGUGACGCAGCCCAGCUGAGGAGCCUUGCAAAUGUUCCUUGAGACUGUUUUGCAUCUUGCUCGACGCACAUCACACGCUGCGGCCAAAUAUUCAUCCUCAGCUCAGAACGGGCUGCAUUGUAGUGCGAUUAAAGUAAAAUAUUACUCCUCAGUCCUCCAUAAGCCACAAGCAAACACCGCUGUGGGUGAAGGCCAGCAGAGGAAGAAUGACUUCAUGAAACUCAAGAGGGAAAGCAAACAUCACACCACCUCCCUGCGUGGGUCAGCCACUGUGCUGGGACAGAGACUUGCCUCUUUGAGACUUUGACUUCUGUGCUUAGAAGACUAUUUUGGGGCUUCUAUAAAGCACGGGUGUGUUACACACGGCAGCUCACUGCAGAACGAUCCAUCCCUCUCUCGUUUUUCAAGUCGUGGUGGUAAAUGGUGCACAACAUCCUCAGCACCCUGCUAUGAUGAAGCCAUUUGCAGGUGAGCCAGCAAAAAGUCUGUUGAGCUGUGCUCAGCUGCAGCCCUGGGUGGCUGGGGAUCAUCCCCUGGCCCACUCAGCUGGGGCAGGACACGGGGCUGGCCAUCGAAGUGUGAACUUAAAGAAUGGAAACAACCCAUUCCAGGUAGCAAGACUUCUUCUCCCACAAUGUAGUGCAUCUUAGUAGUGCUAAAUUUUCUUUUUUUUUUUUCUUACAAUGACAAGGAAAUGACCUAAACCCCAUGUAAUUUAUUAUUAUUUUAAAUUCUACUAGGAUGUAACAGUGCUGGUGCCAGUCCCUGCGCCGCAGAUGUAACCUGCAUGUGCUCCCAUGCCCAGCUACAAAUGCCUGCUGCUGUAGGCAGGCUAAAUACAGGUAGAUUAAUGUACACACCAAAAUUGUGGUGUCUGGCACUGUAGUUCAGCAGGACCACUUGUAGGAAUCAGUCAAUAUUAGAUAGAAAUGCUGGUAGGAUUGACACAUUUCCCAAGACUGAACGUUCCCCUGCAUUGGUUGCCACCAGCAAAGUAAGGAUUUACUGAGCUCCCUUACUCAAUCCCUGCAAAACCAAAGCCAAACUUGGGCUCCCCUUGCUCUUUGGGAGCUGGGCAGGAUGAGGUCCCCCAUGCCCAUCCCACCAAGCACUGGGUGCCUGCUCUGGACGCAUCCACAUUUUCCCUUCCCUAGAGGUGGGAUCCUCUUGUGGACCCUUCACCUCUACCAGCAUCUGCAGGGCUGAAUCAUAGAACAGUUUGGUUUGGAAGGGACAUUCAAAGCUCAUCUAGUCCAACCUCCUGCAAUGAGCAGGGACAUCUUUGCCCAGAUCAGGUUGCUCAGAGUCCCGUCCAGCCUGGCCUGGGAUCUCUCCAGGGAUGGGGCAUCCACCACCUCUCUGGGCAACCUGGGCCAGUGUUUCACCAGCCUCACUGUAGAACACAAUGUUGUGACCACCAUCACACUGAAAGAAGCCCAUAACAAGAAGUUUAAUGAGCGGUAUAAUUAAUCCUGUAUGAGAGCGGGGCUUAAAUACCUCUAUACCUGCGCGCACACAAUUGCUUGUGUGGAUAUAAAUGUGCCCACUAACAAAGAAAUAAUACUGCCCUUGAUCAAAAAUGGUUAUAAAUUUAUUGUGAAUAUAAAACCUGUGCUGGCGAGGACUCGUAAAGCAGCACAGUAAAAGAAAAUAACCCAACCCUCCUGGUACUACAAAUCCCAGGGCCUAGAAGACUUGGUUUUGCAAAGGACCCUCACAACUGCGAAUAAACCCCAAAAUUUAACAACUUGUUUAUUUUUAUUAUCCUUUUUUUUGGUCAAAAUAAGUUUGCCAUGUUAACAAAAGCAGAAUAGUUUUAUUUAGUGUUCACCUCACACCUUCGACAGCUGCAGCUGUCAGGCACAGAAAUACAGUAUUAAAAUAAACUAAACAGAGUUGCUCAUUGAAAAAAAUCACGCUAUGCAAACCUGUGGAUUGUAACAUCAACAGUAUAAAAUGUAACAAAAUGGGAAUUUUUAAUUUUUGUAAGCUUUUAAAGAUAAUAGUCCAGGCUAUAAAACUAUAUAAGCAUUGAAUAAGAAAUGUUAAAGUCAACAAGUCUACAACAGAUACAUCUUGUAAAAACUCAAUAAAUUAUAUAUAUAUAUUUAUAAUAUCUAGUAACAUUUGAAAUCAUGCACAGUUUUGUACAUUUUCUUUUUUCAGUACAGGAAAACUCAACGCUUCGAGUACUUGGAAUGUACACCAUUAGCAGACAUUUGUAAGAAAAUACCAACAAAUUCUUUUUUAUUCCAACGAAACAAAACAAAAAUCUAUAGAAAUCUACGUCCUCAAACUUCCAUUGAAAUAACCUCAAAACUAUAAAUUAUUUAUUUUAGGAUAAGGAUUUCGUGGCUCUAAGGAGAGAAAAAAAAUAUCUUAAAAUGAGAUGCUGUCAUCCUGUUAUUCUGAAACACUGAUAUGUAAUACGCACCAGAGAAAAAUGGAAAGAAAGAAUUCAGGAUGCAACUUGCCUCUUCGUGGUAGUAGAUAAAAGUCUUCUGGACAAUAAGACCCAAAAAAAAUCCCACAAAAAAACCCCAGCCCAAAUCUGCCCUUUUGUCAGCUUGAUCCACGCUAAUAUUCCCUAGUUCACUCCUGUGCUUUUACACAGCUAUAGGACACAGAGGAACAAAACAGCACAGCAUUUUAACAACAGAAAAUCAGGCAUCACUGGCAUUUUCCAAUGAAUCAGAUGCAAAAGAAAUAAGCAGUCGUUGCACUUCUCCUGCAAACAGUGUCGCUUUUCUGGCUAUUUUGCUCACAAGGCAUUUCUGAAGCCCAAAAUACAACGGUACUGGCAAAGGGGAAAAAAAAAUUAGCCCGCAUCAUCCAAAGUCAACAUUUCACUUUGCUGCACACUGGUUAUUAAGUCGACCACAAAGAAUACCUUCAUUUGAAAAUAGAAAAAUAAACAUCCACACCCCCUUAAUGCACAGUGGUUAAACUGAUGGAAGAAUUCGUGGCCCUGUUUUUCUGAAAUAUGUAAAAAUCAUCUCUUGGCUGCUAUUUGUUUGGUUUUAACCACUGGUGAUGUAUGGAAAAAUAAACUUACCUCUGCUCACUGCAAUCCAGGAUAAACUAAUACUUUUUAAAUGAAUACAUAUAUAUAUUUAUAACAUUAAAUGUAAUUUGUUAAAGGACUGUACACCUAUACAUUCUUUCAAUAUUUCCCAUAAACACAAAAGAAAAACUUGAUUAAUAUAUUUUUUCUCCAUUUUUAAUAAGUUAAAAAAAAACACCCUUAAGCUUGGUGAAAUUUGAAGUUUACAGUAACUCUACGCUAUUUAAACCAAUGAACAGAUAUGUUAAUGUCUAUAAAUAACUUUACAAAUAUACAUGUUAAAGUACAAUUUUUAAAACAAAACUGUGAAGAUAUAAAACAAACAAAAUCUUUCCUUUUGCCCAGAUCAGUAUAUCCUAGAUUGCAAUGCUCGUAUUUUGAGACUCUCAGUACUGCUUUACGUUGCAUUAGUAUUAUACAUUCUUUUUUUUAAUAUAUUUAUUUAUAUAUAUACAGGAUAUAUUUAUAGAUAUAUA